AACGAACGCUGGCGGCAGGCUUAACACAUGCAAGUCGAACGCAUCCUUCGGGGUGAGUGGCAGACGGGUGAGUAACGCGUGGGAACGUGCCCUUCAGUUCGGGAUGACCCAGGGAAACUUGGGCUAAUACCGGAUACGUGCGAGAGCAGAAAGAUUUAUCGCUGAAGGAUCGGCCCGCGUCUGAUUAGCUAGUUGGUGGGGUAAUGGCCCACCAAGGCGACGAUCAGUAGCUGGUCUGAGAGGAUGAUCAGCCACAUUGGGACUGGGACACGGCCCACACUCCUACGGGAGGCAGCAGUGGGGAAUAUUGGACAAUGGGCGCAAGCCUGAUCCAGCCAUGCCGCGUGAGUGAUGAAGGCCUUAGGGUUGUAAAGCUCUUUCGUCCGGGACGAUAAUGACGGUACCGGAAGAAGAAGCCCCGGCUAACUUCGUGCCAGCCGCCGCCGAAA
This 449-nucleotide ribosomal RNA is filed under the name uncultured bacterium. RNAcentral describes it as "partial 16S ribosomal RNA". It matches the Rfam family "Bacterial small subunit ribosomal RNA", at positions 29 to 523 of the family's 1533-position model. The record is from RNAcentral.